Molecule: transfer RNA, 72 nt
Filed under: Bacteroidota bacterium
Lineage: Bacteria; Pseudomonadati; Bacteroidota
Description: Bacteroidetes bacterium (activated sludge metagenome) tRNA-Gln
Rfam family: tRNA
About the family: Transfer RNA (tRNA) molecules are approximately 80 nucleotides in length. Their secondary structure includes four short double-helical elements and three loops (D, anti-codon, and T loops). Further hydrogen bonds mediate the characteristic L-shaped molecular structure. tRNAs have two regions of fundamental functional importance: the anti-codon, which is responsible for specific mRNA codon recognition, and the 3' end, to which the tRNAs corresponding amino acid is attached (by aminoacyl-tRNA synthetases). tRNAs cope with the degeneracy of the genetic code in two manners: having more than one tRNA (with a specific anti-codon) for a particular amino acid; and 'wobble' base-pairing, i.e. permitting non-standard base-pairing at the 3rd anti-codon position.
Source: RNAcentral
UGCCCUUUCGUCUAAAUGGCAGGACACCGCUCUUUGACAGCGUGAAUCGUGGUUCGAAUCCAUGAAGGGCAA